RNAcentral lists this small nuclear RNA (129 nucleotides) under Chinchilla lanigera (long-tailed chinchilla). Its description in RNAcentral is "U4 spliceosomal RNA (ENSCLAG00000021002.1)". The stretch from base 1 to 65 matches the Rfam family "U4 spliceosomal RNA". Rfam says of the family: U4 small nuclear RNA (U4 snRNA) is a component of the major U2-dependent spliceosome. The record is from RNAcentral. Lineage: Eukaryota; Metazoa; Chordata; Mammalia; Rodentia; Chinchillidae.
AGCUUUGCACAGUGGCAGUAUCGUAGCCAAUGAGAUUUAUCCAAGGCGCGAUUAUUGCUAAAAGAUCCAUCUCACGCUGCUUCCUGCAGCUCAUCAGCUCCUGCGCACAGCACUGCAGCAGCUGGGGCC